This 61-nucleotide transfer RNA is filed under the name Cichlidogyrus mbirizei. Its description in RNAcentral is "tRNA-Glu". The record is from RNAcentral. Lineage: Eukaryota; Metazoa; Platyhelminthes; Monogenea; Dactylogyridea; Ancyrocephalidae.
GCUGAGUUAUUUUGUAGAGAACGGUAUCUUUUCGUGAUACAGGAGGAUUUUCCACUCAGUU